UCAGUUCGGAUUGUAGGCUGAAACUCGCCUACAUGAAGCUGGAGUUACUAGUAAUCGCAGAUCAGAAUGCUGCGGUGAAUGCGUUUCCGGGUCUUGUACACACCGCCCGUCACACCACGGAAGUUGGGGGCGCCCGAAGCCACUUAGCUAACCCUUUGGGAAGCGAGUGUCGAAGGUGAAAUCAAUAACUGGGGUGAAGUCGUAACAAGGUAAC
This 214-nucleotide ribosomal RNA is filed under the name uncultured bacterium. Its description in RNAcentral is "partial 16S ribosomal RNA". It matches the Rfam family "Bacterial small subunit ribosomal RNA", at positions 1288 to 1500 of the family's 1533-position model. The record is from RNAcentral.